Molecule: ribosomal RNA, 591 nt
Filed under: uncultured bacterium
Lineage: Bacteria
Description: bacterial SSU rRNA
Rfam family: Bacterial small subunit ribosomal RNA
Source: RNAcentral
CCUACGGGAGGCAGCAGUGGGGAAUCUUGCGCAAUGGGCGAAAGCCUGACGCAGCAACGCCGCGUGAGCGAUGAAGGCCUUCGGGUUGUAAAGCUCUGUCACGCAGGGACGAAGUCUUAAAGAGCGAAUAGUCUUUAAGGUUGACGGUACCUGAGGGAGGAAGCCCCGGCUAAUUACGUGCCAGCAGCCGCGGUAAAACGUAGGGGGCGAGCGUUGUCCGGAAUUACUGGGCGUAAAGGGCGUGUAGGCGGUCAGGCAAGUCAGAUGUGAAAAACCCCGGCUCAACCGGGGGUAGUGCAUUUGAAACUGUCAGGCUUGAGGGCAGGAGAGGAGAGUGGAAUUCCCGGUGUAGCGGUGGAAUGCGUAGAUAUCAGGAAGAACACCGGUGGCGAAGGCGGCUCUCUGGCCCGUCCCUGACGCUGAGGCGCGAAAGCGUGGGGAGCAAACAGGAUUAGAUACCCUGGUAGUCCACGCCGUAAACGAUGGGUACUAGGUGUAGGAGGUAUCGACCCCUUCUGUGCCGCAGUAAACACAAUAAGUACCCCGCCUGGGGAGUACGGCCGCAAGGCUGAAACUCAAAGGAAUUGACGG